Rattus norvegicus (Norway rat) is the source of this 588-nucleotide non-coding RNA. NCBI's taxonomy places the organism in Eukaryota, Metazoa, Chordata, Mammalia, Rodentia, Muridae. The record is from RefSeq and is a predicted model, not a curated record.
GGGGAAUCCAUUCUGCCACAUAACGUCACAUAUUCAAGAAAAUCUUUUAGCCCUUUUCGUAUAUGCACAGUACUUGAUUAUUGCACUGAAUUAUGGUUUAUGGCCAUCGAUCUAGUUUCUUCUGAGGAAAGAAAGAAAACUUGGCACAGGAGAGGGCACAUACAAAACCGCAGGCAGCAUGAAACUCUGCAUGGAUUAAAAAGUAUUGCUGAGGGCUUGUUGUUUUAGAUACGAAAUUUACUUACAACACGGAGAGAAAUUUGAUUAUGAGAGUCACAGGAAUGAAAAAGCAGCAUCACUUGAAACUCGAAUUAUGUCUAUAUUGGAUGUACUAAUUCAGGUCUUAGUGCCAAAUCUGUAGAUGUAUGUCUAUAACUGGAAGGGACUACAGGAGUUUGGGAAAGUAAAUGGGAUCUCUAGAAAGGCCCAUAGGACAUGGAUGCGAUGAAAGGAAGAAUGGAGGCUCAAUGACUAUUGAAGGGAGAGGAAGAGCGCUACAGCAAAUGUGGAAGAAGGGCAAAAUGGUAGCAAAGAUGCUUGAUAAAAUCAUGAGGAAACUGUGUUUACCUAAAAACACAUACAAAUGUA